UACGGAGGGUGCAAGCGUUAUCCGGAUUCACUGGGUUUAAAGGGUGCGUAGGUGGAUUGGUAAGUCAGUGGUGAAAUCUCCGGGCUUAACUCGGAAACUGCCAUUGAUACUAUCAGUCUUGAAUACCGUGGGGGCCAGUAGAAUAUGUCAUGUAGCGGUGAAAUGCUUAGAUAUGACAUAGAAUACCAAUUGCGAAGGCAGCUGGCUACGCGAAUAUUGACACUCAGGCACGAAAGCGUGGGGAGCAAACAGG
Molecule: ribosomal RNA, 253 nt
Filed under: uncultured bacterium
Lineage: Bacteria
Description: partial 16S ribosomal RNA
Rfam family: Bacterial small subunit ribosomal RNA
Source: RNAcentral